CCUACGGGAGGCAGCAGUAAGGAAUAUUGGUCAAUGGACGAAAGUCUGAACCAGCCAUGCCGCGUGAAGGAUGAAGGCCCUCUGGGUUGUAAACUUCUUUUUAUCUGGGACGAAAAAAAGGGAAUUCUUUCCCACUUGACGGUACCAGAGGAAUAAGCACCGGCUAACUCCGUGCCAGCAGCCGCGGUAAUACGGAGGGUGCAAGCGUUAUCCGGAUUUACUGGGUUUAAAGGGUGCGUAGGUGGGUAGGUAAGUCAGUGGUGAAAUCUCCGAGCUUAACUCGGAAACUGCCAUUGAUACUAUCUAUCUUGAAUAUCCUGGAGGUGAGCGGAAUAUGUCAUGUAGCGGUGAAAUGCUUAGAUAUGACAUAGAACACCAAAUUGCGAAGGCAGCUCACUACGGGAUUAUUGACACUGAGGCACGAAAAGCGUGGGGAUCAAACAGGAUUAGAUACCCUGGUAGUCCACGCCCUAAACGAUGGAUACUCGACAUACGCGAUACACUNUGUGUGUCUGAGCGAAAAGCAUUAAAGUAUCCCACCUGGGAAGUACGAUCGCAAGAUUGAAAACUCAAAAGUAGUAAGUUACGGACGCGUAGGACGUAGCGACGACGACACCAGGGAGGGUUAGGAGG
RNAcentral lists this ribosomal RNA (633 nucleotides) under uncultured bacterium. Its description in RNAcentral is "bacterial SSU rRNA". It matches the Rfam family "Bacterial small subunit ribosomal RNA", at positions 338 to 1419 of the family's 1533-position model. The record is from RNAcentral.